UACGAAGGGUGCAAGCGUUAAUCGGAAUUACUGGGCGUAAAGCGUGCGCAGGCGGUUCGUUAAGUCAGAUGUGAAAGCCCCGGGCUCAACCUGGGAACUGCAUUUGAAACUGGCGGGCUUGAGUGUGGCAGAGGGGGGUGGAAUUCCGCGUGUAGCAGUGAAAUGCGUAGAGAUGCGGAGGAACACCGAUGGCGAAGGCAGCCCCCUGGGCCAACACUGACGCUCAGGCACGAAAGCGUGGGGAGCAAACAGG
Molecule: ribosomal RNA, 253 nt
Filed under: uncultured bacterium
Lineage: Bacteria
Description: partial 16S ribosomal RNA
Rfam family: Bacterial small subunit ribosomal RNA
Source: RNAcentral